Molecule: ribosomal RNA, 434 nt
Filed under: uncultured Lachnospiraceae bacterium
Lineage: Bacteria; Bacillati; Bacillota; Clostridia; Lachnospirales; Lachnospiraceae
Description: bacterial SSU rRNA
Rfam family: Bacterial small subunit ribosomal RNA
Source: RNAcentral
ACGGAAGGCAGCAGUGGGGAAUAUUGCACAAUGGGGGAAACCCUGAUGCAGCGACGCCGCGUGAGUGAAGAAGUAUUUCGGUAUGUAAAGCUCUAUCAGCAGGAAAGAAAAUGACGGUACCUGGCUAAGAAGCCCCGGCUAACUACGUGCCAGCAGCCGCGGUAAUACGUAGGGGGCAAGCGUUAUCCGGAUUUACUGGGUGUAAAGGGAGCGUAGACGGUAAAGCAAGUCUGAAGUGAAAGCCCGGGGCUCAACCCCGGAACUGCUUUGGAAACUGUUUUACUGGAGUGCAGGAGAGGUAAGUGGAAUUCCUAGUGUAGCGGUGAAAUGCGUAGAUAUUAGGAGGAACACCAGUGGCGAAGGCGGCUUACUGGACUGUAACUGACGUUGAGGCUCGAAGGCGUGGGGAGCAAACAGGAUUAGAUACCCUGGUA